UACGGAGGGUGCAAGCGUUAAUCGGAAUUACUGGGCGUAAAGCGCACGUAGGUGGUUUGUUAAGCCAGCUGUGAAAUCCCCGGGCUCAACCUGGGCACUGCAGUUGGAACUGGCAAGCUAGGGUAGAGGGGUGUGGAAUUCCAGGUGUAGCGGUGAAAUGCGUAGAUAUCUGGAGGAACAUCAGUGGCGAAGGCGACACCCUGGACUCAUACUGACACUGAGGUGCGAAAGCGUGGGGAGCAAACAGG
This 248-nucleotide ribosomal RNA is filed under the name uncultured bacterium. RNAcentral's name for it is "partial 16S ribosomal RNA". It matches the Rfam family "Bacterial small subunit ribosomal RNA", at positions 524 to 776 of the family's 1533-position model. The record is from RNAcentral.